RNAcentral lists this ribosomal RNA (613 nucleotides) under uncultured bacterium. Its description in RNAcentral is "bacterial SSU rRNA". It matches the Rfam family "Bacterial small subunit ribosomal RNA", at positions 238 to 842 of the family's 1533-position model. The record is from RNAcentral.
GCAUUAGCUAGUUGGUGGGGUAAAGGCUUACCAAGGCAAUGAUGCGUAGCCGAACUGAGAGGUUGAUCGGCCACAUUGGGACUGAGACACGGCCCAAACUCCUACGGGAGGCAGCAGUAGGGAAUCUUCCACAAUGGGCGAAAGCCUGAUGGAGCAACGCCGCGUGGGUGAAGAAGGUCUUCGGAUCGUAAAACCCUGUUGUUAGAGAAGAAAGUGCGUGAGAGUAACUGUUCACGUUUCGACGGUAUCUAACCAGAAAGCCACGGCUAACUACGUGCCAGCAGCCGCGGUAAUACGUAGGUGGCAAGCGUUAUCCGGAUUUAUUGGGCGUAAAGGGAACGCAGGCGGUCUUUUAAGUCUGAUGUGAAAGCCUUCGGCUUAACCGGAGUAGUGCAUUGGAAACUGGGAGACUUGAGUGCAGAAGAGGAGAGUGGAACUCCAUGUGUAGCGGUGAAAUGCGUAGAUAUAUGGAAGAACACCAGUGGCGAAAGCGGCUCUCUGGUCUGUAACUGACGCUGAGGUUCGAAAGCGUGGGUAGCAAACAGGAUUAGAUACCCUGGUAGUCCACGCCGUAAACGAUGAAUGCUAAGUGUUGGAGGGUUUCCGCCCUUCA